ACCUACCUCGGAUCAGACGAGACUACCCGCUGAAUUUAAGCAUAUCAU
Molecule: ribosomal RNA, 48 nt
Filed under: Mactra chinensis
Lineage: Eukaryota; Metazoa; Mollusca; Bivalvia; Venerida; Mactridae
Description: partial 28S ribosomal RNA
Source: RNAcentral